AACAGGUCUUAAUGGAUAGCAGCAGCAACUCUGGUGCUAAUACAUGCGAUUGUUUCUCCAGAUGUGAAUUAUGGAGGAAAAGUUGACCUCAUCAGAGGCACGCCAUUCGACUGAGUGACCUAUCAGCUUGUACUUAGGGUCUUUACCUAGGUAGGCUAUCACGGGUAACGGGCGGUUACCGUCGGACUGCCGGAGAAGGCGCCUGAGAGAUAGCGACUAUAUCCACGGGUAGCAGCAGGCGCGAAACUUUCCCACUCGAGACUUUCGGAGGAGGUAAUGACCAGUUCCAUUGGUGCCUUUUGGUACUGUGGAUAGGGGUACGGUUUUCCACCGUACCGAAACCUAGCAGAGGGCCAGUCUGGUGCCAGCAGCUGCGGUAAUUCCAGCUCUGCGAGUUUGCUCCCAUAUUGUUGCAGUUAAAACGCCCGUAGUCUGAAUUGGCCAGCAAUGGUCGUACGUAUUUUUACGUUCACUGUGAACAAAUCAGGACGCUUAGAGUAUGGCCACAUGAAUGACUCAGCGCAGUAUGAAGUCUUUGUUUUCUUCCGAAAACAAGCUCAAUGAGAGCCAUCGGGGGUAGAUCUAUCUCAUGACGAGUGGUGGAAUACUUUGACUCAUGAGAGAGAAGCUGAGGCGAAGGCGUCUACCUAGAGGGUUUCUGUCGAUCAAGGGCGAGAGUAGGAGUAUCCAACAGGAUUAGAGACCCUGGUAGUUCCUACCUUAAACGAUGCCGACAGGAGUUUGUCAUUUGUUAAUGGCAGAAUCUUUGGAGAAAUCAUAGUUCUUGGGCUCUGGGGGAACUACGACCGCAAGGCUGAAACUUGAAGGAAUUGACGGAAGGGCACACCAGGGGUGGAGCCUGUGGCUUAAUUUGAAUCAACACGGGGAAACUUACCAGGACCAGAUGUUUUUUAUGACUGACAGGCUUCGGGUCUUUCAGGAUAUUGUUUUUUGGUGGUGCAUGGCCGUUGGUGGUGCGUGGGUUGACCUGUCUAGCGUUGAUUCAGCUAACGAGCGAGAUUAUCGCCAA
This 1030-nucleotide non-coding RNA is filed under the name Trichomonas vaginalis G3. RNAcentral describes it as "Eukaryotic small subunit ribosomal RNA". It matches the Rfam family "Eukaryotic small subunit ribosomal RNA", at positions 128 to 1350 of the family's 1831-position model. The record is from Rfam by way of RNAcentral. Lineage: Eukaryota; Parabasalia; Trichomonadida; Trichomonadidae.